AGAGUUUGAUUCUGGCUCAGGAUGAACGCUGGCGGCGUGCCUAAUACAUGCAAGUCGAACGGGGUACAGAAGCAAUUUUGUACUUAGUGGCGAACGGGUGAGUAACGCGUUGGUGACCUGCCCCAAAGCGGGGGAUAACAGCCUGAAAGGGUUGCUAAUACCGCAUGUGGUUGAAAGAGAUUAGAAGCUUUCAAUUAAAGGAUAUAUCCACUUUGGGAGGGGCCUGCGUCCCAUCAGCUAGUUGGUAGGGUAACGGCCUACCAAGGCGAAGACGGGUAGGGGACCUGAGAGGGUGACCCCCCACAAUGGAACUGAAACACGGUCCAUACACCUACGGGUGGCAGCAGUAGGGAAUAUUGCGCCAUGGGCGAAAGCCUGAUGCAGCAACGCCGCGUGAGUGAAGAAGGCCCUCGGGUCGUAAAACUCUUUUCAAGAGGAAGAGGAAGGACGGUACUCUUGGAAUAAGCCUCGGCUAACUACGUGCCAGCAGCCGCGGUAACACGUAGGAGGCGAGCGUUAUUCGGAUUUACUGGGCGUAAAGCGCGUGCAGGCGGCUCUUUAAGUUGGAUGUGAAAGCUCCCGGCUUAACUGGGAGAGGACGUUCAAAACUGAAGAGCUUGAGUAUGAGAGAGGAAAAUGGAAUUCCGGGUGUAGUGGUGAAAUGCGUAGAUAUCCGGAGGAACACCAGUGGCGAAGGCGAUUUUCUGGCUCGUAACUGACGCUCAGACGCGAAAGCUAGGGUAGCAGACGGGAUUAGAUACCCUGGUAGUC
Molecule: ribosomal RNA, 771 nt
Filed under: uncultured Anaerolineaceae bacterium
Lineage: Bacteria; Bacillati; Chloroflexota; Anaerolineae; Anaerolineales; Anaerolineaceae
Description: bacterial SSU rRNA
Rfam family: Bacterial small subunit ribosomal RNA
Source: RNAcentral